RNAcentral lists this long non-coding RNA (209 nucleotides) under Elaeis guineensis (African oil palm). RNAcentral's name for it is "long non-coding RNA (EGUI_LNC043966)". The record is from RNAcentral. Lineage: Eukaryota; Viridiplantae; Streptophyta; Magnoliopsida; Arecales; Arecaceae.
CCUUCGCUUUGAGUAGAGAUAUUCAAUAAAGAAAGCAAUUCGGCCAACUUGAGAGCGAAUUUGGAUCUAAUGGAAUAGAUCCGAGAACGAGCUCAAGUUCGGAUGGCAAACUACCAAUAGAAAGUGGCUUGGUAUUCUAACUCAUAAAUCAAAAAUAAAGCCUUUCGAGUAGGAGACCUCAUCCUAUGAAGAGCCAAAGUAUCUCACCC